Molecule: ribosomal RNA, 484 nt
Filed under: uncultured bacterium
Lineage: Bacteria
Description: partial 16S ribosomal RNA
Rfam family: Bacterial small subunit ribosomal RNA
Source: RNAcentral
AUUGAACGCUGGCGGCAGGCCUAACACAUGCAAGUCGAGCGGAUGAAGGGAGCUUGCUCCUGGAUUCAGCGGCGGACGGGUGAGUAAUGCCUAGGAAUCUGCCUGGUAGUGGGGGAUAACGUCCGGAAACGGGCGCUAAUACCGCAUACGUCCUGAGGGAGAAAGUGGGGGUUCUUCGGACCUCACGCUAUCAGAUGAGCCUAGGUCGGAUUAGCUAGUUGGUGGGGUAAAGGCCUACCAAGGCGACGAUCCGUAACUGGUCUGAGAGGAUGAUCAGUCACACUGGAACUGAGACACGGUCCAGACUCCUACGGGAGGCAGCAGUGGGGAAUAUUGGACAAAGGGCGAAAGCCUGAUACAGCCAUGCCGCGUGUGUGAAGAAGGUCUUCGGAUUGUAAAGCACUUUAAGUUGGGAGGAAGGGAAGUAAGUUAAUACCUUGCUGUUUUGACGUUACCAACAGAAUAAGCACCGGCUAACUUCGUG